Molecule: non-coding RNA, 190 nt
Filed under: bovine gut metagenome
Source: RNAcentral
AACGGUGCCCACCUUUACUAACAUAAGGUGAGUUAAAAGGGAAACAGGUUAAAAUCCUGUACGAUCUCGUCACUGUAAUAGGGGAGCAAUCCAUCCAAAUGCCAUUUACACAGAGGCGUAGCCACUGGAGAAAUCCGGGAAGGCGAUGGAAAGCGAUGAUCCUUGAGUCAGGAAACCUGCCGUUUGCGAA